UUUGCAAGAUUAUUAAACAACAAAUUGUUAAAACGGCCAUGCUGCUCUCUUUCUCCUUCGUGGUUUUGAUAUUUUUUUGUUCAAAAAGGACAGAUGCAGACUCAGUAACUCAGCCCGAAGGCACCGUUACCAUCCAUGAAGGAAAACCUGUGCUUCUUUAUUGCACCUAUGAUUACUCUGGGUCUCCUGCACUCUACUGGUACGCGCAGUAUCCUCAUGAAGUCCCUCGCCUGUUGCUGACACAAUAUGGAGCCUCGGAUGAGGAGGAGAAGAGACGCAGGCGAGGGUUCUCUGCUAAACUGGAGAAAGACUCCAAAUCCUUCCACCUGGAGAAAAACUCCAGCGAAGUGAGCGACUCUGCUGUCUACUACUGCGCCUUGAGAGACACAGGGAGCAAAGCCACCUGGGAGCUGAACAAAAACCUCCCUGACUGACAGAAACACGAAGGGCUGAAAUAGCUGAGAUUUCGCGUGUCAAGACCUCAGAGCGUAAUCUCUAUUCCUUAAUAUCUUUGUUUUAUUCUUCAACUUCUCCCCCCCCCCCACGCUCUUUUUUUUUUUACCCUAGCCUUGGGUAGCAUUUGGAUCACAAUUAGGAGUCAGGGAUUAAAGGUUAUUACGGUUUUAUCUACUGCUUAGACUGUAAGGUUAAAUUUAUUUGUAUCAUUGAGGUUAAGGAUUAGGGUUGGAAUAACAGUCAGUUUAAGAGUUAGG
Chelonoidis abingdonii (Abingdon island giant tortoise) is the source of this 713-nucleotide non-coding RNA. Lineage: Eukaryota; Metazoa; Chordata; Testudines; Testudinidae. The record is from the annotation of a RefSeq genome assembly.